UGGGGAAUUUUGGACAAUGGGCGCAAGCCUGAUCCAGCAAUGCCGCGUGCGGGAUGAAGGCCUUCGGGUUGUAAACUGCUUUUGUACGGAACGAAACGGUCUGCCUUAAUACGGUGGGCUAAUGACGGUACCGUAAGAAUAAGCACCGGCUAACUACGUGCCAGCAGCCGCGGUAAUACGUAGGGUGCGAGCGUUAAUCGGAAUUACUGGGCGUAAAGGGUGCGCAGGCGGCCGGGUGUGUCAGAUGUGAAAUCCCGAGGCUCAACCUCGGAACUGCGUCUGAAACUACUCGGCUAGAGUACUGGAGGGGGAAACGGAAUUCACGGUGUAGCAGUGAAAUGCGUAGAUAUCGUGAGGAACACCAGAGGCGAAGGCGGUUUCCUGGACAGUUACUGACGCUCAGGCACGAAAGCGUGGGGAGCAAAAGGG
This 429-nucleotide ribosomal RNA is filed under the name uncultured bacterium. Its description in RNAcentral is "bacterial SSU rRNA". It matches the Rfam family "Bacterial small subunit ribosomal RNA", at positions 355 to 776 of the family's 1533-position model. The record is from RNAcentral.